GGCGCCUUGCGCGCACCGGCGGACGGCUCAGUAACACGUCGGUAACCUACCCUCGGGAGGGGGAUAACCCCGGGAAACUGGGGCUAAUCCCCCAUAGGCCUGAGGUACUGGAAGGUCCUCAGGCCGAAAGGGGCUUCGGCCCGCCCGAGGAUGGGCCGGCGGCCGAUUAGGUAGUUGGUGGGGUAACGGCCCACCAAGCCGAAGAUCGGUACGGGCCAUGAGAGUGGGAGCCCGGAGAUGGACACUGAGACACGGGUCCAGGCCCUACGGGGCGCAGCAGGCGCGAAACCUCCGCAAUGCGGGAAACCGCGACGGGGGGACCCCCAGUGCCGUGGCAUCGCCACGGCUUUUCCGGAGUGUAAAGAGCUCCGGGAAUAAGGGCUGGGCAAGGCCGGUGGCAGCCGCCGCGGUAAUACCGGCGGCCCGAGUGGUGGCCGCUAUUAUUGGGCCUAAA
RNAcentral lists this ribosomal RNA (454 nucleotides) under Thermococcus sp. AV21. Its description in RNAcentral is "bacterial SSU rRNA". It matches the Rfam family "Archaeal small subunit ribosomal RNA", at positions 64 to 514 of the family's 1478-position model. The record is from RNAcentral. Lineage: Archaea; Methanobacteriati; Methanobacteriota; Thermococci; Thermococcales; Thermococcaceae.